RNAcentral lists this transfer RNA (76 nucleotides) under Rhodovibrio salinarum. Its description in RNAcentral is "tRNA-Thr". It matches the Rfam family "tRNA". From Rfam's summary of the family: Transfer RNA (tRNA) molecules are approximately 80 nucleotides in length. Their secondary structure includes four short double-helical elements and three loops (D, anti-codon, and T loops). Further hydrogen bonds mediate the characteristic L-shaped molecular structure. tRNAs have two regions of fundamental functional importance: the anti-codon, which is responsible for specific mRNA codon recognition, and the 3' end, to which the tRNAs corresponding amino acid is attached (by aminoacyl-tRNA synthetases). tRNAs cope with the degeneracy of the genetic code in two manners: having more than one tRNA (with a specific anti-codon) for a particular amino acid; and 'wobble' base-pairing, i.e. permitting non-standard base-pairing at the 3rd anti-codon position. The record is from RNAcentral. Lineage: Bacteria; Pseudomonadati; Pseudomonadota; Alphaproteobacteria; Rhodospirillales; Rhodovibrionaceae.
GCCGGCGUAGCUCAACUGGCAGAGCAACCGAUUUGUAAUCGGUAGGUUGGGAGUUCGAGUCUCUCCGCCGGCACCA